UACGGAGGGUGCAAGCGUUAUCCGGAUUCACUGGGUUUAAAGGGUGUGUAGGCGGGCAUUUAAGUCAGUGGUGAAAUCUCUGAGCUCAACUCGGAAACUGCCAUUGAUACUAUUUGUCUUGAAUAUCGUUGAGGUUGGCGGAAUAUAUCAUGUAGCGGUGAAAUGCUUAGAUAUGAUAUAGAACACCGAUUGCGAAGGCAGCUAACUAAGCGAUGAUUGACGCUGAGGCACGAAAGCGUGGGGAUCAAACAGG
This 253-nucleotide ribosomal RNA is filed under the name uncultured bacterium. RNAcentral describes it as "partial 16S ribosomal RNA". It matches the Rfam family "Bacterial small subunit ribosomal RNA", at positions 524 to 776 of the family's 1533-position model. The record is from RNAcentral.